UACGUAGGAUGCAAGCGUUGUCCGGAUUUAUUGGGUUUAAAGGGAGCGUAGGCGGCCUAUUAAGUUAGUGGUGAAAACGUUCGGCUUAACCGUAUACCCGCCAUUGAUACUGAUAGACUUGAGUGCGACAGAGGGUGUUGGAAUGUGUGGUGUAGCGGUGAAAUGCUUAGAUAUCACGCAGAACACCAAUUGCGAAGGCAGAUGCCUAUGUCGUAACUGACGCUGAGGCACGAAAGCGUCGGGAUCUAGCAGG
Molecule: ribosomal RNA, 253 nt
Filed under: uncultured bacterium
Lineage: Bacteria
Description: partial 16S ribosomal RNA
Rfam family: Bacterial small subunit ribosomal RNA
Source: RNAcentral